Molecule: ribosomal RNA, 528 nt
Filed under: uncultured bacterium
Lineage: Bacteria
Description: partial 16S ribosomal RNA
Rfam family: Bacterial small subunit ribosomal RNA
Source: RNAcentral
UGGGGAAUAUUGCACAAUGGGCGAAAGCCUGAUGCAGCAACGCCGCGUGAGGGACGACGGCCUUCGGGUUGUAAACCUCUUUUAGCAAGGAAGAAGCGAAAGUGACGGUACUUGCAGAAAAAGCGCCGGCUAACUACGUGCCAGCAGCCGCGGUAAUACGUAGGGCGCAAGCGUUAUCCGGAAUUAUUGGGCGUAAAGAGCUCGUAGGCGGUUUGUCGCGUCUGCUGUGAAAACCCGAGGCUCAACCUCGGGCCUGCAGUGGGUACGGGCAGACUAGAGUGCGGUAGGGGAGAUUGGAACUCCUGGUGUAGCGGUGGAAUGCGCAGAUAUCAGGAAGAACACCGAUGGCGAAGGCAGAUCUCUGGGCCGUAACUGACGCUGAGGAGCGAAAGGGUGGGGAGCAAACAGGCUUAGAUACCCUGGUAGUCCACCCCGUAAACGUUGGGAACUAGUUGUGGGGUCCAUUCCACGGAUUCCGUGACGCAGCUAACGCAUUAAGUUCCCCGCCUGGGGAGUACGGCCGCAAGG